Molecule: ribosomal RNA, 426 nt
Filed under: uncultured bacterium
Lineage: Bacteria
Description: bacterial SSU rRNA
Rfam family: Bacterial small subunit ribosomal RNA
Source: RNAcentral
GUGGGGAAUAUUGCACAAUGGGGGAAACCCUGAUGCAGCGACGCCGCGUGAAGGAAGAAGUAUCUCGGUAUGUAAACUUCUAUCAGCAGGGAAGAUAGUGACGGUACCUGACUAAGAAGCCCCGGCUAACUACGUGCCAGCAGCCGCGGUAAUACGUAGGGGGCAAGCGUUAUCCGGAUUUACUGGGUGUAAAGGGAGCGUAGACGGUGUGGCAAGUCUGAUGUGAAAGGCAUGGGCUCAACCUGUGGACUGCAUUGGAAACUGUCAUACUUGAGUGCCGGAGGGGUAAGCGGAAUUCCUAGUGUAGCGGUGAAAUGCGUAGAUAUUAGGAGGAACACCAGUGGCGAAGGCGGCUUACUGGACGGUAACUGACGUUGAGGCUCGAAAGCGUGGGGAGCAAACAGGAUUAGAAACCCCAGUAGUCCC